UCUGGGUUUGAUUGUUGUUGAGUAAGUGUCAAUUUCGUCCAUACUUAAUUUACUAUCGUGGCAGCUACCUUCUAUAUGAAUCAUCGAAAGCAUUGGCCAUCCAGAGUUCUCAAUCUAAAUUUAUCUUUUCAGGAUCUAUAUGUGGAUGUUCCAUCGACCAAAACUGCCUUGUCUCGGAAUGGCUAAAUUGUUCUCUUUUGAAAUGCAGAGAUGUUAAAUCUGUUUCACUUAACCAAAGCUGGAAAUAGAGGAUAUGAUUGGCGGACUCAGUAAGGAAGAUGUUCAAAGUUAUGAGGAUAUGACAAGAUUGCAAAUUGUGAACCAGAACGAGUUCAUCGGCAUCAUCAUUGGCGAAGCUGUUAUAGAUGAAAAUUGUUAUGAAAAAUGCUUUAGGAGACUGUUGGGGAAUUCUUUCCGUGGAUAAGGAAAAAACUUAAUUUAUAAUCUUUAUUUUGAUUGCCAAUCUUGUAUUUAUGAAGUAAAGCUUAUUGGAGAGGGA
Molecule: long non-coding RNA, 499 nt
Organism: Aedes aegypti (yellow fever mosquito)
Lineage: Eukaryota; Metazoa; Arthropoda; Insecta; Diptera; Culicidae
Exons: 2
Source: RefSeq, a predicted model, not a curated record